AGCCCGUGGGUUGAAGCAGGGGCCAAGCUUCUACGGGAGGCAGCAGGCGGGAGUUUUGGACAUUGGGCGAAACCUUGUUCCAGCAAUCCCGAGUGAGUGAUGAAGUCCUUAGGGUUGUAAAGGUCUUUUAGCAAGGAAAAUAAUGACGUUACUGGCAGAAAAAGCCCCGGCUAACUCCGUGCCAGCAGCCGCGGUAAGACGGAGGGGGCUAGCGUUGUUCGGAAUUACUGGGCGUAAAGAGUGCGUAGGCGGUUUAGUAAGUUGGAAGUGAAAGCCCGGGGCUUAACCUCGGAAUUGCUUUCAAAACUACUAAUCUAGAGUGUAGUAGGGGAUGAUGGAAUUCCUAGUGUAGAGGUGAAAUUCUUAGAUAUUAGGAGGAACACCGGUGGCGAAGGCGGUCAUCUGGGCUACAACUGACGCUAAUGCACGAAAGCGUGGGGAGCAAACAGGAUUAGAUACCCUGGUAGUCCACGCCGUAAACGAUGAGUGCUAGAUGUCGGAAGAUUCUCUUUCGGUUUCGCAGCUAACGCAUUAAGCACUCCGCCUGGAGAGUACGGUCGCAAGAUUAAAACUCAAAGGAAUUGACGGGGGCUCGCACAAGCGGUGGAGCAUGCGGUUUAAUUCGAUGUUACGCGAAAAACCUUACCAACCCUUGACAUGGUGGUCGCGGAUCGCAGAGAUGCUUUCCUUCAGCUCGGCUGGGACCGCACACAGGUGUUGCACGGCUGUCGUCAGCUCGUGUCGUGAGAUGUUGGGUUAAGUCCCGCAACGAGCGCAACCCUCAUUCUUAUUUGCCAGCGGGUAAUGCCGGGAACUAUAAGAAAACUGCUGGUGAUAAGCCAGAGGAAGGUGGGGACGACGUCAAGUCAUCAUGGCCCUUACGGGUUGGGCUACACGCGUGCUACAAUGGUGUUUACAGAGGGAAGCAAGACGGCGACGUGGAGCAAAUCCCUAAAAGACAUCUCAGUUCGGAUUGUUCUCUGCAACUCGAGAGCAUGAAGUUGGAAUCGAUAGUAAUCGCGGAUCAGCAUCCCGCGGUGAAUACGUUGUCGGGCCUUUGCACACUACCCGUCACGCCAUGGGAGUUGGUUUUACCUGAAGGUGGGAGUCGAAGAAGAGGCACACACCUACGGUACAGAGGCUGGUUCCUCCAUCCCAUCGUUAUACAAAAC
This 1172-nucleotide ribosomal RNA is filed under the name Rickettsia monacensis. Its description in RNAcentral is "bacterial SSU rRNA". It matches the Rfam family "Bacterial small subunit ribosomal RNA", at positions 307 to 1468 of the family's 1533-position model. The record is from RNAcentral. Lineage: Bacteria; Pseudomonadati; Pseudomonadota; Alphaproteobacteria; Rickettsiales; Rickettsiaceae.